Molecule: long non-coding RNA, 2121 nt
Filed under: Mus musculus (house mouse)
Lineage: Eukaryota; Metazoa; Chordata; Mammalia; Rodentia; Muridae
Description: partial Far
Source: RNAcentral
AUAAAACUGUGCUCUGGAUUGCCUUGGUGCUGUUUGUAUUUUAAUGCUAAUUCUGCUUCUCACAAAAGGGCUGUCUCAGACCAGGAGAGAGUCACUUACUGAGGUGAUUUCAUGUGAACCUUCUCCAUUUUUAACUGGUAAAAUAUAGGUCUGUGAUUGGGCAGUAGAAGGGAAAAGUGGAGCUGAAAGUUGUAGAUGCCCGACUCACCAGCAAGUGAGAUGCCACAACAGGAUUCUUCUGCACAGGUUUAUUGGGAGAGCUUGAUUGUGAAGGGGAAAGAUCCUGGUGCUGCUUAUAUAGGCCUAGGAGAGGCGUGUCUACACCCGAUUGGUUAUGCUUUCAGUACAUCAUUUACAUGCCUAGGGCCAGGCCAUGACUCAGCACAAACUCUUAUGCACAUGCGCACAUUGGUUGUUUACCCAUAUUCAUGGGCGUCAGCUUGUUGAAACCAGUGCCAUCUUGUAAUGGCAUUUAUCGGCUUCCCACAGAAAGUUUUAGAGAGGUGACACACACACACACACACACACACACACACACACACACACAGAGAGAGAGAGAGAGAGAGAGAGAGAGAGAGAGAGAGAGAGAGAGAGAGAGAGAGAGAAGAUGGAAUCAGGAGAAGAUAGAGCUUCCCCACGUGGUCUGGAAGAGCCACAAGUAGCUAGGCAUUUCAUAGAUGGGCAAUAAGCACUGUAAGGUACAUUUGCCCAGUCUAGGUGUGCAGCUUGAGUUUUGUGUUCUUUGUGGAGGCAUUUUGGGGUUGGAGAUUUACUGUUAUGGAUCCGACUGGUUAUUACAAGUCUCUAGUGCUAUCAUUUUAUCAGGUGCAGGCUAGCCUCAGGGGCUAAAUGGCCUGGGAAAUGUGAGAGGCUUGCCAGCAAACUAGCCAACGGAACUAUGGGGGCAGACAAGACCUCAGUUGCUUGUGCUUAGCUGGUUUAGCUUGGUUUGUUUUUUAAAACUGCAUGCUGCAAAACUGUACUUUAACUUUGAACUUUGAACUCAUUCACACAAAGGAUUUUUGAAUAAAAGCUACGAUGCUUCUUCUCUUGAUAUUUUUAUUUUUACAACGAAUAUCUUUGUUGCUUUCUAGUCACUUGUAUGUUUUUCUGCACUCAGUAUUUAAGAUGCUAAAACAGACUCAUUAAAAUUAAAAGAGCUGAAUGGAUUUCAUGCCUGCUUAAUAUUCGGGGUUUUGAUAGACAAAUGAAUAGAUAGAUAUAUCACUUUUGCUUUCAGCAUUCCUGUAAACCCUUAACAAUUGAAUAUGUCAAACACUGUUUAUGAAUAUAAAUUAUAUCUAUCAAAGUCUAUCACAGAAGAAAUUGAAACUGUAUAUCAUUAAAAUGUAUCAUAAAACCACAACAUAUUAAAACAAAUAUCAAGGUUUUCUAAAAAUAUCUGCAUUUUGUGACAAGUUUGGCAUUAUUAUAUACUUUAACAAAUGUCUUUUGGUGUCUGGAUUAAUAGAAGACAGCAGAAUGCUCAUGUCUGUCUCCCUCAUUGAUCUGUUUUGAGAUGUAGUUUGGGUGGAAGUAUAUGAAGAAAAUCCAACCUUACCCCACUGUACAUUAGAAACAACAGUAUGUUGUAACAGACACUAUAGGUAAUUUCAAUAUUCUUUGAGAGUGUACCAAAAACCCAUCAAAAGGAAUUCCUUAAAAUUAGGGAUCAAUUCUAAGUCUAAAAUUGUUUUGAAUCUUCAUGUUUUCGUCUUUAGGAAAAUAUUGGUUCAUCGACUUAUCUGUACUUGUGAAAUGUUCUAAUUUAACUGGAAAUUAAAAUAACACUUGUUAAUAAGAUCACCUUUCACACAUGAUUAGUUUUUCAUGUACUGGAAAGCUGUCAUUCUUAUGGUGGUGAAUUCAAGUUCGCAUAAUGCCUAAUCCUAAUUUGAAAGGUUCAAUUUUAUCAGUGGUAAUAAAGACUUGUAAAGUUCUUUCCUUAAAGAAGAAGACACCUGCUUUUGUGCUUUUAAGAAAUUGUAUGCCAGUUAUGCAAAUCUGAAUACAGAUAAUGUUCCUGUCAUUCUCUCAGUAAAAUGUAAUGGCCUGUGUAUUCAUAGGUCUAGAUUUUAUAAAAUGAUAACUUGCUACACUCUCAUUAAAACCAUUUUCCAG